Molecule: long non-coding RNA, 6470 nt
Organism: Apis cerana (Asiatic honeybee)
Lineage: Eukaryota; Metazoa; Arthropoda; Insecta; Hymenoptera; Apidae
Source: RefSeq, a predicted model, not a curated record
GCACGCCACCACGUAGUCUCUUCGAUGUUUUCCGCGAGAACAAUUGCACUCCUCCUCCUGUGGAAUGCCAUAAGUUUACGAAAUUUAAAUGAAUCGACGAUCAAAAUCAUUUGAACUUGUUCCUCCGAUUUCGUAUCUAGAGAAAGCAUACUUUGAAAAUGUAUGAUUGCUGUGAUGAUUCUGGUUAAAAUGAUGUGUCGUGUUGAUUACUCGUGACACGUGUAAUCGGGAACAUGUGGGACAUGUGGAGUGUCUCCCUUUUCGAUUUCGCGGAGGAAUGCAACUGGUGAACGUUUCGCCCAUUUUACGGAGAAACGCGAAAGCUUUGCGAACUAAUCCGCUUUCAGAGCCGAAUUCUCCAUGUACCAAGUAUUAAGUACAUAAUUCCAAAGCUUCGAAACCUCAAGUAACUCUAACUCCAACGCGGACAGCGUCGGGGAAGAAAGCGUUUGAUUAACAAUGCAAGUGGUGGAGAAUGGUGGUGCUCUGCUUGGCUACUCGAAUUCGAUAGAAUGGAAGGAAUUUUUGGAAGGAAUUGGACUUUUAGUGUGAAACUUUCUUCUCUUGUACCUUUCAGAUGUUUUUUAAAUAUUAUUUAAUGUUACUUAAAAUUCGUAAAACACGAAUCGAUCGAAACUAUAAAAUUAUAAAGGGAGUAUAUAGAAGUAUUCGUAGAAUUAUAUAUAUAUAAUUAUAUAUAUUGUUUUCAAAAACCGUAAUUAUAAAACAAGGUUUUGUGUAAAUAAUUUACAUCAUCUUCGAUCAAAAUUUAAACGUUCAAACAAUAAAAUACAAAUUUCUCUCCGCUAAUUGAAAAUCGUUUCACCAUUCACCAUCCGCCGUAUUAAUUUGCCAAAUUAAUUAUCAUCGAUUUACUAAACGUUUCGUAAUUGUUUCAUUCGUUUCAAAACCAAUCGAAUAUAAUUGUAAUACUUGUUGCAGCUCGUGGACAUUGCAUACCUUUGAAAUGGUAAUACGCUGGUGACCGUUAAUAAUUCCAUCCGAUCUCUCGCCUGGCAUACCGGGGAUCGCAAAGAGGACGCGUCUUCGAAUUUCCUGCGGCCCGAAUGUGCCUGAAAACGAGGAUUAAAGCGAGAAUUUUGCGAGACCGAGCCGCUCUCGGAUAUCAAUGAGGGCCGAUGAAGAGAAUGCCCGGAUGAUUGGAUCGGCGUUGAAGCAAUUUCCUAUAAUUACCGGGCAAAGGUAUCGGUGCGAUGGCACAAUGGGCCUCGAAAUGGAGGCUGACCACGCCACGGUAUGGGCCAUGAUAUUCCAUAGCUCGAACAAUGUUCCACGAUCGUUGUCACUUUAAUCGGGGAAACUUGCACUCUGAUACCGCUGCCUUUACUUUGAUCCUUUGAGCGUGAAAUUAUUGGAGAGAAUCCCUGACGCGAAGAGUUUUUCAUAAAAUUGGAGAUUCCUGAUAUUUUGGAGAUAGUUUGCUCUUAGAAGCGAAUUGUACAGGAAUAAGAAUCAUUAUAAUUGAUAUAAGAUUUCUUCCAUUCAUCAUCGAAUUAAUUUGAAAUGUUUGAAUUGAAGAUAGUACGUCGUUUUGACAUUUUAUUAUCCUGAAAAGUGAAAAAUAUCGAUGAUCAUCACGCAAUCGUAGGAUAUCUCUAUCGUGAUAUCGAUCAGAACAUGCAUACGCAAAGAUUAAUCUUUCAUCGUCGAUAAUGCACACGCGUGAUCUCGAUAUCGCGAUUCGAUUCGAAAUUGAUUUUCCAAAUAUUUUUGUUUACCUUAUCGAUUGACUUCGCCAAUUGUUCGAGUGAACAAAGACAAUACCCAAACUUGUUCUCUCGCGCAGCGUUCGUAAUUACACCGUUGGAACAUUUCCGGCCUCGAAACUUUGAGGAACACCAUUGUCCUCAUUAAAACAUUCGGUCUUUUGUUUCGACCGUACUCGGGGACACGUUAAACCAACUUAUUUUACCGCGAAUGAAUUGAAAUUUACGAAACAAUAGCAUGUUCGUUUGAACGUUCGCGCGUUCGAUUAUUCCUUUUCUCGAAACAAUUAUUUUCGCAGAAUUUCGUCUUUCGAAAUACGAAAUAUCGAGUAAUCUUGACGACAAGAGGGGAAGUGUGUAGCAGACUAACUGACGAUCCACGAGGCUCCUCUCCAAAGUGGCAUGCGUUUAUUAUUAUAUAAAAUAGACAUAUAAACGAUACAUCGUUAUGUACACAGAAUACAUAUAAAAGAUAGAGCGAUGGAGGUACUAGCGGUAUAUGACGGAGAUCGUGGCGCGGUCGGUUUCAAAAUGGGAGGCGUCGGAGGAGAUCAGUCGAAGAUGCGUAUCGUCCAACAAGUGAGCAAGGGAUUACCAAUGUCCAUCAGCGCGAAGGAUACUUCCCACACCAGCCGGUCCAGCGGCUAUGCUGCCCGACGGUCCAGCGAUCAAUGCUGGAGCGGUGAUAGGGCCGGCGAGGGCUGCUGGAGGUGCUGCGGGUCCAGCCAGAACAGCUCCUAGAACAACAAAUUCUCCUCGAUAAAAUAACGAACAAAAUAAUCGGUGAAAUGUGCGAGUUGUGUCGUGUCCAGGCUCAAUUCAUCUAUCCAUUGUGAACAUUGUGUGCCUACUAUAUUCUAUAUAUUUUAAAGAUUAAACUUCCUAUCUGUGGUUUAUCACAACUCGUAGGAUUUUACUCACCCCAGGGAAGGGCGUGUGCGGCUGGCCAGUGUGCCGCCGGCCAGGGUGCAGCGUGGCCAGCAACGCUACCGGAAACUAGGGAAGGCCCAGCAACGGCUCCCGUCACGACAGCUCCACCGUCCACGGCUCCGGAGAGGCGAGCGGGUCCAACUGCGGGUCCGGCGAGGGCGGCAGGGCCUGCAACGGGGCCGCUGAGGGCAGCCGGGCCUAGGACAGGGCCGGCCAACGCUGCUCCAGGCGCCAGAAGGCCGGACGGGGCGGCCUCGGCCAUCGAGAGGGCCGCGACGAGGAAGACCGCUGCGAAGGUGCGCAUGUUUGAGAAGGGCUGUUUGUUCGAAGGGCUUGCUCGCUUCCAAGCUGGUGGAACAGUUUGCCUCGGUGGCUCGGGUGGAUGUGCUGUCACUUGGCUGGCUCGAUCCCGCUUUUAUACGGGCAUUGUCUACACACUGCUGGCCGCCCAAUGCUCCCGCCAACCCCCCAAGGGCGGGGCACAGGACACGCCGAACAUUCUCUGGACGCGUGGCCGGUUUCCUUCUCGCCGGCUUAUCAGCGUUAUGAGAGUCGGCGGCGACAACGGCCCACCCGUGCCCCCGGAGGUCGCCCGCUCCAAUUCAGACCGUUGCAUCCGUUUCAGCGAUUGCUUUUUUUCAUUUCUUUCUUUCUCCGUUUCUUUUUCUGAGAUCGCAUUGCCCGCGCUCUUGCGUACAACACGGCUACUCCGUCGAGCAGAAAGAUCGACACGCAGAUAGUUCGCAAGUUUGACUGUUUAAUGGGUUGAACGCGGGUAGUCACGGUCUGGGUGGUUUCGAAAAAUGCGCAAUUGGUUGGUUUCCAAGUUUUUCGGCGUUCGUCGAAUGAGAUAUGUCGCGAUCCUCGAUUUGGAUUUAGACGAUUCAACAGCAAUCUUUUUAAAUUUACGAUUCGCGUAUAAAUAUUGAGGCUAAAAUAUUUUUAGAUGUGGAAAUUGGAUAGGAGAAUCCAUCGAAUAAACAUUGGGCAAGGCGAUUAUUCCCAUCGACGGGAUGAACGGAGGAACCUGUCAGGGUCGAAGGAACCUGUCGUCGCGACCUUCGCGGUCGAAGAAGAGCCGUUUCAUCUUUCAUCAUCCCACGAACGAAGAGGGAAAUCCUGGUAGGAGGCCGUUGUUCGUUUCUGAUAUCCGCAUUGUGCAUCCGUUUAGGCGAGGCACUCGGUUGCCCACGCGCCUGGAUUGUCGCCUGGAAUGACGGUCUCAUUGUAGUCGGAUACGCGUGUGUUACGGUGGGCACCAGCCUCGCAAUGGAUCACCGAGCCUCGUGCCACGGAUCGUUUCGAAUAUCAUUGUUGGGCGUAGCGCGCACUUUCGAAGGUGGUAAAGGUGACCGGCGACGCGAUUGUUCGAAUAAUUGUUCCCAGGCGGAGGCCAAGUCCUUUAAGGGGGACGGAUUUAAUUGCGCGCCUGGUCCGAGGGAAGAAGAAAGAAAGAACCAUCUUUUUCUCGGAAUAAUCUCUCCGGUUCUUGAAAAGAUUGCUUUUUCUUCUUGAAUAAUUCAACGGAGCGAAGGAAAUCUUUUGUAACUUGUCAUUAUAUUCUAUAUUAUUUUAUAUUAUUAUAAAGGGAAUCGAUCUGGUAAGGAUCUCUCGCUUCUUCUUUUUCUUUUUCAUUUCUUUACCUUCGAAUAAAUUUAUUCCUCUUCGUUCCAUUCGAAUUAAUCUCUCCGUUAUAAUAUUUUCUUAUUUUUGCUUCGAGAAUGAUGUAUGUUAAAUUUUGACUCGAUUCAAAAGGGAAAGAUUGCAUCGCGAUUGCUUCCAUUUACGAGCUUUAAAAAAUUGUAUGCUGGAAGAUUGGUGUUACGCAGGUGUUGGGAUCAGAUAUCGAAGAUCACGCGAUGUCCAGUCGUUUACGGGGAGAAUCGAGAACGGGGACAUAUUUCUUGGCGUGACAGGUGCAUAAAGGAGUGACGGAUCAAGAACGACAAGGAUAUUUGAUUUACGGUCACAGGCUAGUUUUACACGCGACUAUGCACCUUUUUCCAGUGUGGCUGGAUAGAGAAUUUAGUGGAAAAAUAGCGGAAACAGACCGACAGAUGCGUAGCUCUUGUUUUUCGAUUGCGUGUCCCUUUUUGUCGCCAGAAAUAAUGCGCAUCGUUGGAUACGUGUAACCGGUUUACGAUUACAAAGUUCGAAAUAGGAGAUAGAAGAGGAUUAUCAAACCAUUUUAGAAACGGGAUCCCCAUUGUCUCAACGCUCGAAUAACGUUUGUCCACGAUAUUGUUUUCCAAUUUUCCAGCGUAAUUUUCAAUUUACAGGCAAUUUGGAAAUAGGCAAGCGAUAACAAAAUUUACACGAAAAUACUGGGAAUAAAAACUAUUGGAACAUCGAUGUUAAUCGAAGUUGUAUUGACGGUUAUGUAUUGGCAAACAGAUUUUGGAUUAAAACUAAUUGAAAUGUCAGUUUCGAUUAAAUUGUAAAUUAAAAUUUAGGUAAUAACAAUUAAUCAUUUUGUGUUUUUAAUACACACUGAUAAGUUGAUAUUGAUUCGAAAAUGAAUAGAAACGAAAGUGGAACAACGAUUUAAGGUAGGAAAGAAAAGAAGAAACAAAUGAUUAGUAUAACUCCAGAUCUUUGAUAUCUUUCUUAAUUUCCAUCGAAUCUUAAUCCCUUUCCGAAAAAUAAAACUUAUUAAAAAUAUAAUUUUACACGUUAUAUAAAAAGAAAGCCCUUUAUCUUAUCAAAAGUGCAUAUCCCUGUAUAAUUAUAAAAGGGAAGUACGUUGCAAGAACGUUGUCUAAGGAAGAAGUUGGGAAACACUGGUAACGCAUUGUUAUUUCAAUAUCUGAACGCUGAUAGAUCAUUAUUAUGUCCCGCAUGGGUGUGGUGUCACCAGUUCGAUCCAAUAUUGCAUCACCUUAUUUACACCUUUGUUGUUACAGGAGAAAACAGGAGCUUUUUCACCCCGUCACGGUCCACCAGGCCGGGGGCCAGCACAGCCCCGCCCUUACCCCCGAUAAGUUCACCGACCCACGUGCUCCCGUGUGUCGCCUAUAAAAGCUCACUUACCAUCAACUUGCACGCCAAUGUUCCUCCGUGAUGGCCGAUGGAAAGUCGCUGCUCGGAAUCUCGUUGGCCUCACUCGUUCAAAGGGGGACGUGUCACCAUUGUCCACCUAUCUCUACCGGAUAGAGAAGUCGAGAAAUGCCGAGGGCGUGAUCGAUGGAUCGUCGAGAUUCUCAAAAAAUUGGCCUCCCUAUUCCCCGAGGAGACUGCUGCGUUACUGGGCCAACCGAAAUGGACGAGCCUCGAUCCUUCGUUCCAACGCAAUAGCGUCGACACCCGCCCGCCAUCCACUUCGUCCAACUUUCGGGCGAUUCAAUGGAUGUGAGAGGCGGGUGGAUGUGGGAGGAGCAGCGCGUCGAAGGAUUCAUCGAUCGGCCUUCCUCGAUCUCCGCCAACCCAUUAUAAACAGACAACCGUAUCUACCUCGUUAUCGGCCACACCUUCUUUCUCUCGUCCCUUGACACCUCGCGAAAACAAUCCGGAUCUCUCGUUAAGGUUCGGUUGCCUCAUAGCAUGGAUCAUAGAUAUGGCCGGCUUGUAAUUCGUGACAGGAUAUAUGAUUUAUCGUGAUCUGUGACGAGAGUAAGAGAAAGAGAGAGUGGAAUUGGGAAAGAUUUUGAAGUUUUUUUUAAUUUUAUUUAUAAUCACGUUAUGGAUUAAAAAUUAUAGUGUAAAGUGAAAUUUUCUAUUCAUUCAGUGUUUAAGUAAUAAUGUAUAUUUUAUCAUAUAGAGAGGAUCGUUGUAUGUAUCAAGUUUUUUGUAAUAAAUGAUUCUUUGAUCACCGAA